Molecule: ribosomal RNA, 392 nt
Filed under: uncultured bacterium
Lineage: Bacteria
Description: partial 16S ribosomal RNA
Rfam family: Bacterial small subunit ribosomal RNA
Source: RNAcentral
AUACGUAGGGGGCGAGCGUUGUCCGGAUUUACUGGGCGUAAAGGGUGAGUAGGCGGUUAUAUGUGUCAGAUGUAAAAGGCUAUGGCUUAACCAUAGUUAGCAUUUUAAACUGUAUGACUUGAGGGAAGGAGAGGUAAGUGGAAUUCCUAGUGUAGCGGUGAAAUGCGUAGAUAUUAGGAGGAACACCAGUGGCGAAGGCGACUUACUGGACUGUAACUGACGCUGAGUCACGAAAGCGUGGGUAGCAAACAGGAUUAGAUACCCUGGUAGUCCACGCUGUAAACGAUGAGUGCUAGGUGUUGGCCAGCGAUGGUCAGUGCCGCAGUAAACACAUUAAGCACUCCGCCUGGGGAGUACGGUCGCAAGACUGAAACUCAAAUGAAUUGACGGGG